GAUGAACGCUGGCGGCGUGCCUAAUACAUGCAAGUCGAGCGAACAGACGAGGAGCUUGCUCCUCUGACGUUAGCGGCGGACGGGUGAGUAACACGUGGAUAACCUACCUAUAAGACUGGGAUAACUUCGGGAAACCGGAGCUAAUACCGGAUAAUAUAUUGAACCGCAUGGUUCAAUAGUGAAAGACGGUUUUGCUGUCACUAUAGAUGGAUCCGCGCCGCAUUAGCUAGUUGGUAAGGUAACGGCUUACCAAGGCAACGAUGCGUAGCCGACCUGAGAGGGUGAUCGGCCACACUGGAACUGAGACACGGUCCAGACUCCUACGGGAGGCAGCAGUAGGGAAUCUUCCGCAAUGGGCGAAAGCCUGACGGAGCAACGCCGCGUGAGUGAUGAAGGUCUUCGGAUCGUAAAACUCUGUUAUUAGGGAAGAACAAAUGUGUAAGUAACUAUGCACGUCUUGACGGUACCUAAUCAGAAAGCCACGGCUAACUAUGUG
Molecule: ribosomal RNA, 496 nt
Filed under: uncultured bacterium
Lineage: Bacteria
Description: partial 16S ribosomal RNA
Rfam family: Bacterial small subunit ribosomal RNA
Source: RNAcentral